RNAcentral lists this long non-coding RNA (377 nucleotides) under Brassica napus (rape). RNAcentral's name for it is "long non-coding RNA (BNAP_LNC026733)". Lineage: Eukaryota; Viridiplantae; Streptophyta; Magnoliopsida; Brassicales; Brassicaceae. The record is from RNAcentral.
UGAGAGAGAGAAUGUGUAUAAUCUUUGUUCGAAGGUUAUAGUGGAUUGUCUUUUCCAGGCCCUAGAGACGUAACCACUUUAUGCGAAUUUCGGAUAAACAAUUGUUUGUGUCUUUAUCUUCUACUUUCUUUCCGCGUUCCUCUUCUAUUGUUCUCAAUUCUAAGAAUUUAUAUUCUCUAACCUACGUCAACAAGUUCGCGAGUUUGUGUGUUUGAUUCUUGUUCUAGGUCAAACUAUAUCAGUCAUCGAGACACAGAAAAAGUGGUAUAAGAUCUCUAAGUUGUGUCAACUUCAAUGAUGAAUGCAAGAAUCGAAAUCGAUCAAUUUGAUGAGAAGGGAGACUUAUCUUUGUGGAAGAAGAGGAUGCUAGUGCUUCU